GGGAUGCGCCCCAGCCAUCCCCAACAGCGCCACACAAAGAUCUCUCAGCAAUCGCUGUAGAAGCAAAAUAUUGAGGGAGCUGCGAAGCGCAGAGGAUUUCCGCAAGUGUGGUUUUUGAACGAAUGAACAAAUGAAUGCAUUUACUUGGAAUAUAUUCUCCCUCUUGCUGGAGAGACUUUGCUGGGCAGGUGAAUGUAAUGGAAGCUGGGAGCCCGUCGCCCAUUGUAAUGUACUUGGUGACCUUGUCUUUCUUUCUGUGCCCACCUCCACCCAGAUCAAUUCAUGUCGCCAAUAAUACGGAGUCGAGGGGAAGCAGCACCUUUUCUAACUUGCACUAAGGCACCCCGGUGUUCCUGUUUCGCUGGCCAUGCCUCUGCCUGCAACGCCCUUUGCCCAGGUUGGUUUUGUUGGACAGAAAAGAAUCUUCCAAUCUUGGGCCUAGAGGGACAUGGUCCGGCUGCUGGCAUGCUUGGAGCCAAGUCUCGACAUCACUCUGUGUUUGGGCGCAGAAGGCUCUGAACUAGUUACUGGGCUCUCGCUGUGAACAAGGCAGACACUGUCCCUGCCUUCUCUUGAAACUAUGUUCUGGCAGAAGGUACAAGCAUGAAACAGAAAAAUAAUGCAGUAUCAAUCAUUCCAUAAAAAGUAACAGCUUCAUUGGCAAGUUCUAAGUGUUUUUGUUAAUGAAUCACUCUGAAAGGGAGAGGAGAAGAUUUAAUUUGCUUAGGAAUGAGGAUCAACUGUGUGACAUUUGUUUCCUGGUUUCUGUCUUCAUAUUUUUAAGAUCAGACCUUCAACAAUAAAGGUAAGUCACUUGUCUUAGACGGUUUGUUACUGUCCUCUCCACACCAUCUGUUAAGAUACAACCUCUCUCUGCUGAUGUUUUUAACACAGACAGGCAAAUUUGAUCCAGGAACUUUGUUAUGGUAUGUACAAAUCUAAGUUUCCAGGCUCCAUGGACAUCAUUAACCCAAAAUAUCCCUACUGGACCGCACGAGACUGACCCAUCCUCUAGUCAUAGAUAGCCACAAGGAACAAAAAGGAAGCUCAGAUUUGUUUGGACAGAUAGGCCAAUACUGGAGGUCCAUCCAAUACCUGAUGGAUUUGCUAUUACACAGCUGUUUUUUUUUGUUUUGUUUGUUUGUUUUAGGGCUGCACCUUCGGCAUAUGGAAGUUCCCAGGCUAGAGGUCAAAUCGGAGCUACCGCAGCCGGCCUAUGAUACAGCCACAGCCAUGUGGGAUCCAAGUUGCAACUGUGGUCUACACCACAGCUCAUGGCAAUGCCGGAUCCUUAACCCACUGAGCAAGGCCAGGGAUCGAACCUGCAUGCUCGUGGAUCCUAGUUAGGUUCAUUAACCCCUGAACCAUGAUGGGAACUCCCUACACAGCUGUUCUUGCCUGGGAAGAGGAGCAGGGCACACUUGGACUGCUUUCCAAGAUUCUGUGACUCAGUGAUGAACUUUCAAAAAACAACAGCACACCAUUGGCUAAAACCAUCUGGGUAAGUUUACAAGAACUCAAAGCAGACUGGAUCAGAAAGGCAGCAAGAUUUUUGUUGUUUCCCAGUUGGAACCAGAGGCUGAUUCAAGGUUAAGAUUCAGCGAAAGCUGGCAGAUGUGCUACUUUUAUGGCCAUCAUCUGUCACUCAAGCAUUUUUGAGUUGUUUUCUCACUAGAGAUGAUCUCAUCCUUCUUUGCUCUGGGCUCCUUGCUACCAAAUUACAGCUUUUGAAAUGAAUACCCAGGUAGGGGUGCCAACUUUGGCGUUUCAACACCACUCUUGCUGCUCAUGCUCAGAGAGUUCAAGUGGCUUAAAAUUAAUGGAGGUCAUAAAACCAGUUAGUAUUCGAACACAGGUUGAACUCGGAUCUCUUAUCUUCUCUCUUUACCAUGCUGAAUUACAUAAAUCAUCCCAGUGUUUAAGAUAGAUUGCUUUUCCUCCCUGUGAUAAGUGGAACAAUGACACCCUCCCCGCCCCCCCCCCCCCCGCCACACCCCUCCAUGUCUACACCCUAAACUGUGGAACCUAUGAAUAUGUUUUGUCCACAUGGCAAAGAGAAUUGGGGUUGCAGAUGGAAUUAAGAUUGCUAAUUAACUGAGUUUAUAACGGGGAGAUUAUCCUGGAUUAUCAGGACGAGUCCAAUGUAAUCACAGAGGUCUUGAAACGUGGAAGGAGGUAUAAGAGCCAGUGUUGGAGCGGAGGUGGCAUCAUGCAGCAGUGGAAACAAAUCUGACUAGGAACCAUGAGGUUUUCGGGUUCCAUCCCUGGCCUCGUGCAGUGGGUUAAGGAUCUGGCAUUGCCAUGAGCUGUGGUGUAGGUCGCAGAUGAAGCUCGGAUCUGGCAUUGCUGUGGCUGUGGCAUAGGACUGCAGCUGUAGCUCUGAUUCAACCCCUAGUGUGGGAACGUCCACAUGCUGUGAGUGUGGCCCUAUAAAAAAGCAAAAAGCAAAAAAA
RNAcentral lists this long non-coding RNA (2453 nucleotides) under Sus scrofa (pig). RNAcentral's name for it is "lncRNA (ENSSSCG00025038349.1)". Lineage: Eukaryota; Metazoa; Chordata; Mammalia; Artiodactyla; Suidae. The record is from RNAcentral.